This 75-nucleotide antisense RNA is filed under the name Streptomyces sp. 150FB. RNAcentral describes it as "ASpks TB sRNA". It matches the Rfam family "ASpks TB sRNA". Lineage: Bacteria; Bacillati; Actinomycetota; Actinomycetes; Kitasatosporales; Streptomycetaceae. The record is from Rfam by way of RNAcentral.
CUUGAUGGAUCCCAGCAACAGCGGCUGGUCCGCAUCGCGGCCCUGGCCGUACGUCGCGAGCAGCGCCUGCGCCUC